UCAAUAAGCGGAGGAAAAGAAACCAACCAGGGAUUGCCCCAGUAACGGCGAGUGAAGCGGCAACAGCUCAAAUUUGAAAUCCGGCGCCCCCGCGGCGCCCGAGUUGUAAUUUGCAGAGGAUGCUUUUGGCGCGGCGCCUUCCGAGUUCCCUGGAACGGGACGCCAUAGAGGGUGAGAGCCCCGUCUGGUCGGACGCCCAGCCUCUGUAAAGCUCCUUCGACGAGUCGAGUAGUUUGGGAAUGCUGCUCUAAACGGGAGGUAUAUGUCUUCUAAAGCUAAAUACCGGCCAGAGACCGAUAGCGCACAAGUAGAGUGAUCGAAAGAUGAAAAGCACUUUGAAAAGAGGGUUAAACAGUACGUGAAAUUGUUGAAAGGGAAGCGCUUGUGACCAGACUCGGGCGCGGCGGAUCACCCGGCGUUCUCGCCGGUGCACUCCGCCGCGCGCGGGCCAGCAUCAGUUCGCCGCGGGGGACAAAGGCGCCGGGAACGUGGCUCCCCCCGGGGAGUGUUAUAGCCCGGCGCGCAAUGCCCCGCGGCGGACUGAGGUUCGCGCGUCCGCAAGGAUGCUGGCGUAAUGGUCACCAGUGACCCGUCUUGAAACACGGACCGAGGAGUCGUCCUCGUAUGCGAGUGUUCGGGUGUCAAACCCCUACGCGAAAUGAAAGUGAACGCAGGUGAGAGCCUCACGGCGCAUCAUCGACCGAUCCUGAUGUCCUCGGAUGGAUUUGAGUAAGAGCAUACGGGGCCGGACCCGAAAGAAGGUGAACUAUGCCUGUGUAGGGUGAAGCCAGAGGAAACUCUGGUGGAGGCUCGCAGCGGUUCUGACGUGCAAAUCGAUCGUCAAACAUGGGCAUGGGGGGCGAAAGACUAAUCGAACCUUCUAGUAGCUGGUU
RNAcentral lists this ribosomal RNA (893 nucleotides) under Ophiocordyceps geometridicola. Its description in RNAcentral is "eukaryotic LSU rRNA". It matches the Rfam family "Eukaryotic large subunit ribosomal RNA", at positions 43 to 956 of the family's 3401-position model. The record is from RNAcentral. Lineage: Eukaryota; Fungi; Ascomycota; Sordariomycetes; Hypocreales; Ophiocordycipitaceae.